GCUAGUAAUCGCAGAUCAGAAUGCUGCGGUGAAUACGUUCCCGGGUCUUGUACACACCGCCCGUCACACCAUGGGAGUCGGAAAUGCCCGAAGCCGGUGACCCAACCAAAAGGAGGGAGCCGUCGAAGGCAGGUCUGAUAACUGGGGUGAAGUCGUAACAAGGUAUC
This 167-nucleotide ribosomal RNA is filed under the name uncultured bacterium. Its description in RNAcentral is "partial 16S ribosomal RNA". It matches the Rfam family "Bacterial small subunit ribosomal RNA", at positions 1334 to 1500 of the family's 1533-position model. The record is from RNAcentral.